UUGUAUUUUACAGACCAGGAGGAACAGGUUUAUUGUAUUUUACAGACCAGGAGGAACAGGUUUAUUGUAUUUAACAGACUAGACCAGGAGGAACAGGUUUAUUGUAUUUUACAGACCAGGAGGAACAGGUUUAUUGUAUUUAACAGACUAGACCAGGAGGAACAGGUUUAUUGUAUUUAACACACUAGACCAGGAGGAACAGGUUUAUUGUAUUUUACAGACCAGGAGGAACAGGUUUAUUGUAUUUAACAGACUAGACCAGGAGGAACAGGUUUAUUGUAUUUUACAGAACUAGACCAGGAGGAACAGGUUUAUUGUAUUUUACAGACUAGACCAGGAGGAACAAGAGACUGACCUGAACAGGUUUAUUGUAUUUUACAGACUAGACCAGGAGGAACAGGUUUAUUGUAUUUUACAGACUAGACCAGGAGGAACAGGUUUAUUGUAUUUAACAGACCAGGAUGAACAGGUUUAUUGUAUUUUACAGACCAGGAGGAACAGGUUUAUUGUAUUUUACAGACCAGGAGGAACAGGUUUAUUGUAUUUAACAGACCAGGAGGAACAGGUGUAUUGUAUUUUACAGACCAGGAGGAACAGGCUUAUUGUAUUUUACAGACCAGGAGGAACAGGUUUAUUGUAUUUUACAGACUAGACCAGGAGGAACAAGAGACUGACGAGAACAGGUUUAUUGUAUUUUACAGACCAGGAGGAACAGGUUUAUUGUAUUUUACAGACUAGACCAGGAGGAACAGGUUUAUUGUAUUUUACAGACUAGACCAGGAGGAACAGGUUUAUUGUAUUUUACAGACUAGACCAGGAGGAACAGGUUUAUUGUAUUUUACAGACCAGGAGGAACAGGUUUAUUGUAUUUUACAGACUAGACCAGGAGGAACAGGUUUAUUGUAUUUUACAGACUAGACCAGGAGGAACAAGAGACUGACCUGAACAGGUUUAUUGUAUUUUUACAAAACUAGAACAUACUGAAAUUGUGUGUAAUCUACAAAAGGCAACACAGAUCGGUUAGACCAGAUCUCCUCACCACCACCACCUCCUCCUCCUCCUCCUCCUCCGGGGGAAAAAAGCUGUGAAAGGAUCCAACACAGCAUCAUCACAGCUCAAGAGUUCUAUUUCAAUUCAUUGAAGGUUGAGUCUGAAGCCAGUAAAAUGGAGUAUUCAGGAUGAACAACAGGUCAGACCCUGGGUUAGAAUGUAUACUCUCUUCACUCACAUUCAAGAAGAAGGUCUGGAGAUCGGAUAUCGUUCCAAUACGUUGAUCGAAACCUGGGUCGAAUCGUUCAACAACGUUUGAGUCCAUGAAUGACCCAAAUCAAGGCUUCAGAUAAACCACGGUUGGCUCGGUUACACACUUCCUCUACCCUCCCUGAAGCAAUCUGACAGAAUUGUAUGGAUAGAAGUACCAAUCACAGCUUGGGUCCCAAAAGUGUCUCGGGGUUAAAGGUUAAUCCAACAGAAGGAUUUGAUCAAAGCGUCAGAAGCACUGUCCAAUCUAGAAACAGGUCUGUCUG
Oncorhynchus mykiss (rainbow trout) is the source of this 1526-nucleotide non-coding RNA. Lineage: Eukaryota; Metazoa; Chordata; Actinopteri; Salmoniformes; Salmonidae. The record is from RefSeq and is a predicted model, not a curated record.